This 4648-nucleotide long non-coding RNA is filed under the name Nicotiana tabacum (common tobacco). RNAcentral describes it as "long non-coding RNA (NTAB_LNC008819)". Lineage: Eukaryota; Viridiplantae; Streptophyta; Magnoliopsida; Solanales; Solanaceae. The record is from RNAcentral.
UAUCUACCUACUUUCCUAAUUCAUUUCUUCAACAUUACAAGAUGCAUGUUUGUUUUUAAAAUAGUGCCCAUAUUAUUUUUCCAACUUGCCAAAAAAAAAAAAAAACUAUAUUCUUCAAUGUUGACCUAUAUCUCAUCCCACGGCCAACACCCUUUUCUGCAUCAAAUUCAUAAACAUAUAUUUUCUCCUUCUUUAGCCCAACACCGUGCAUUGACUAUUCUUCUAGAUAUUUCCUUGUAUACUUUUUGAGUUUUCUUGUGAAGAAGAAACAACAAUUCUUCGGGAAUAAAUAUGGUUGACAAUAGAAAAAAGUAUUUAUGGGGAAUGGUUUUAGAGUUUAUAAAGUGGAUCGGCAAAGAAACUAGGUUGAAAAAGUUGUAUAGGUAAAAAGUGAACCUACCAAAUGGACAAAUUAAAUAUUUACACAUGGCAGACUGCCAAAUUGCAUAUAUGAAAACUAUCAAUGGAUUGGAGGGCUGUCUGAAGAAUUAAUUCAAGGUCAAAUGAGUCAAAAUUAUUGAUAUCAAUUCCAACUGAGGAGUCAACAAGAGAAGUUUUACCGUAAAGUCUCGUAUGUACGGAUAGAAACAAAGAAAUGGUCAAUCCUAAAUAAGAAGAGAUUCGACAUUAGUUACAAAGAUGGCUACAAAACACACCUCCAAAAGAGAAGUAAAACAAUCGUUACAAUAGUAACUCAAAGUAAGAGUCGGGAUCGAUCUACAAAGAGUUUAUAUAGUUAUUAAGAUAGAUGCCUAAGAACGAGACUUAUCAUAUCUUUAAUUAGCUUUCAACCAAAAGUAUGAGUUAAUUAAUCCAUGGAUUUCAUUAACUAUUAUCGUAAGAGGCAAUUCAACAAACACGUAACAAGCGAGAAUUAACUAAGAGAAUGACAAACCUAGAGUUUUAUUCUUUACCUAGGUGUUUCACUAGAUGGAUAUUAUCUACUGAGCUUGAUUGGGUGAUUGGAAAUAUUAUGAUACACACUCUAAUUUACUCUCUUGAUGCUUCUCAAUUAUUAAGUGGACUAAUUAAAUGCUCUCUCGAGUCAAUAGAAUUGCAUUAAGCUUAGGUGUUGUUGUAUCCUAGUCAAGAGAUCCCUAUCUCUAACUCACUCUCUUUAAUUAGAUCUAAUCAAACUCUCAAUUAAUCUAAUUCUUUGUUAGCAAAAUUGCUAAAUUUCAACUCCUCUUUCUCAAGUAUGAGUCAAAUCACAAGGGAAUGAAUCAAUAUUUGCAACCACUAGUUCACAUUAUAAAAAUGGUUAAAUAAUAACUAAUCCAAUCUCAAACAAGCUCAAUAUUAAAUGCCCAUAAAGUUUCACACAAUAGAGUGCAAGUUCAAUGCCGAGUUGAUGGAACCGGGCAUGCACAUGAGGCUUGGAUUGCAGGUCAUCCCCAAGAGAGGCAGUUUCAAGUACCUUGGGUCGGUUAUCCAGGAGAACUGGGAGAUCGACGAGGAGAUCACACAUCGUAUAUGAGUGGGAUAGAUGAAAUGGAGGUCAGCAUCCGGAGUCUUAUGUAACAAGAAAGUGCCAUCGAUACUCAAAGGUAAGUUUUAUAGAGUAGUGGUUAGACCAGCCAUGUUGUAUAGGGUAGAGUGUUGGCCAGUUAAGAACUUACAUAUAUAGAAGAUGAGAGUAACAGAAAUGAGGAUAUUGAGGUGGACGUGUGGGCACACUAGGACUGAUAAGAUUAGUAAUGAAGAUAUUCAGGAGAAGGUGGGCGUGACUCCUAUAGAUGAUAAGAUGCAGAAAGCGAGGCUCAGAUGGUUCGGGCAUAUACGGAGAAGAAGCCCUGAUACCUGGUAAGAAGGUGUGAGCGGUUGGCUUUGGCGAGUACGAGAAGAGGUAAAGGGCGACCUAAGAAGUACUGGGGAGAUGCGAUCAGAAAGGACAUGGCGAAGUUUCAGAUUUUCGAGGACAUGACCCUUGAUAGGAAGGUGUGGAAGUCGAGCAUUAGGAUUGUAGGUUAGGAGGAGGUAGUUGAGCAUUUUUCUUCUUCGUACCGGAUGUGGUUAGUCUGAUAGGGUUUGUCUUAGACUGCUAGAGGUUAAUGUUGCGUUCACUCUAUUCGUCCAUUUUUUAUGGCACCGGGCCUUAUUUAUUGGUUAUUAUUAUUGCGUCUCAUCUAUUUUCUGGUUCUUAUGAUGCUGUUAUUAUUUCUGUGAUUUCUGUCGAUGGUACUAAUAUAUUGUAUCUUUUUGUCUUGUUCGUUUUCUUGAGCUGAGGGUCUAUUGGAAACAGCCUCUCUACUCUAUCGAGAUAGGGAUAAAGUAUGCGUACACAAUAUCCUCCCCAGACCUCUCACAUGUGGGAUUUUACUGGGUUGUUAUUGUAGUUAUUGUUGUUGAGUAACUACUAAGAAGGUGCUAAGAGAGGGUGGAGUUAUUGUCACUGGUUAAAGGCAUAGGAUCUGUUGGCAGAGGGGUAAAAAGGGGAAAGUAGUGAAUUAAGGGAAAACCCAAGACUAAACUCUAUAUAAAGUCUGCAUUUCCUUUUUAAGAGGCAGUUUAAAGAUUAACUUGGAGAGAUUUUAGAGACGAUAAAAAUACUUUUUUUUUCUCUGAGAAAGAGUUAUAGAAAUCAUUAAUCUAAACACAUUUCUUUCCUGAAGAUUUCUGAAAUUCCAAUAAAAGCUAGUGAUAGAUGGUGAUUGUUUGAGUAUGAGUCAAUGAUUUUACUGAUUAUUCUGGAUUUUUUUUUAUUGAUUUCUCGGUAUUUCAAGUUGGAGAUUGCUGUUGUUUCUUAAGUUGUUCAGCCUCAUUUCUUUGCUUUCUUAUUCGAUUAUUGUUCUGCUAUAAUCUGCAUUCAAUGUACUAUUUGUAUCACCAUGUAAUUUUUUAGAGUACCUAUAAAUAUAGUUGUGUGAAAUUAUCAGUAUUAGUUAUAUCCAUUGUCACACCUCCUUUUUCCCGAGGGGAUAAAGUGAUAUUAUUCGAAAUGAGAUUAUUUAUUUAAUUUAGAGUCGCCACUUGAAAUAAUUAUGAUGGUGUCCCAAGUCACCAGAUUAUUUUAAAUCCCAAAUCGAGGAAAUUUGACUCUAUUUUAAAGUCCGCAAAACCAGAAGACCGGUUAAGGAACUCUGUUAACCCGAUAGAAGGUGUUAGGAAUUUCCGGAUUCCGUGGUUUUAGCACGCUCAACUAUCAAUAAUUGGCCUAAUUAUUUGAUCUAAUACAUACUUUAAAACCUAUUGUGCAUUUAAUGCUUCUAUACUGCUUUUAAUUAUUCAAUCAGUUUUUAAGAUUUAUGGAGUUUAUUUAAAUAAGUCGCGAUGUCGCGCACUUAUUGUUUUUGUACAUAUUGCGAAUCGCGUCACGUGAAAUGCACCCGCGAUUUACAACAUGUUUAUUAUUAUUAUUAUUAUUUGAAGUUGUGGCCGAGUCACGUGAAACACACACUCGAAUUGUGAUUUACGUAUCAUGACUAUGUUACGGGAACGGUACCCAUAGUCACUAUGAUUUAUUUAUUAAUCGCGCCUAAAGUAAACUAUGAUAUUAGAGAGUUCUUCAUUUCUUAAGCUUGUUCAAGAUUAUUUGUGACAGAAAAUAGGCCCUACUGCCUGUUUGGGGCCGAAGACUUUUAAACUCAAGUCUAUCAUUUUAAUAUAGGAGUCAAAGAAUCAGUUAAUAACUAAGAUGCUAAUCAUAGAAAAAAAAUCAGUUAAUAGCAAAUUUGGCAAGCCGUACACAUAAUCUAAUGAAAAUGGGAUAUCUUUCUGAAUAGCUUGCAAAAUCAACACUCAAAAUGAUUAUUUUUGCACUUAUAUCCUGUUACAAAUAUGGUCAUAUCUUGACAUUAUCGGUGUAACUAUUUUACAGUAAUAACCAAAUCCUAACUUUCAAAUUCUCCUCACUUUUGCUUAUGCUACUUUUGUAAAUCCUUUAAUAUGAACUCCCCUUUUAACACCAAUCAUUUGAUUUUAACAGACCCAGUGUAAAUCAAAGUGACAUCAGACUAAAUCAAUAUUUAAUGACAAAUGAAUUCAAUCACAACAAAUCACAUUUUUUGAUAAAUUAGCUAGCAUUUUAUUCACACUGAAACUAACUCAAGGCAGCCAAAUCCAAAUAGCAUUAAAAGAUAAAGUGAAGUAGUCAUGAUUUUAUAUUAAAACAAAUCUGAAAAAAUACAAAUAGAAGAGAACAUACAUACUUGGGCUAGAAUUGACCUUCGAGGAAGGCAAAAACAAAUAAAGGCCAAAUUGGCAAUUCGGCAAUCAAGAGCAGCUCAGCAAAGUGACGUCCACAACAUCAAGGGAGAUUAAAAUCAGACUCAUGCGAAAUGACCAGCUCAAAAGCAAGUACAUAAUUAAACUUUUACAAAAAUUAAGGUUCAAAACGAUUUAUAAGAAAAUAACUGAGUUUUUUAGUGGAAGUUUGUGGUAGUUGACGACAGCGUAACGACGGAAGAUACUGCCGGAAACACCAAAGAGUAGAAGAGGUUUUUAUUUUUAUUUUUUUAUUUUUACUCUAUGGGAAUGGGGAUAGGGGUGACGGCUAGGGUUCCGAAAAAUUUGGGGAGAUUUUUCGUCUCAGUGAGGAGGGAGGGGCGGCCGGCUAGGGUUUCUAGGAGAUGGGGAGGGUCUGCAUAUGGAGAGGAAGGGGGUAGAGGGGCGGCUAGGGUUAGUCCUAAAGGGGGGAGGGACCGGUCCA